RNAcentral lists this long non-coding RNA (992 nucleotides) under Pogona vitticeps (central bearded dragon). RNAcentral describes it as "lncRNA (ENSPVIG00000017490.1)". The record is from RNAcentral. Lineage: Eukaryota; Metazoa; Chordata; Lepidosauria; Squamata; Agamidae.
CCGCCGAGAGGGCGCCUUUCUCCCACUCCCAAAGGCUUCCGGUGUUUCCUGGGCUGGACCAGUUGGCCCUCAAGGCUCAGCUCAGGAAGCGGCACGAACCGGAAGCCGCAGGAGAAGGCCCCUCCGCGCAGCCCUCCCGGUCGCCCAAGUCUCCGCUUCAGGCGGGUCCCUCCGGAGGCAGGACGUUGCCCAAGGGCCCCGAGAGAGAGGAGAGGGCGGAGGGCCCCCCGUCGCCACAGUGGCUGAAGGAGCUGAGGUCCAGGAAGCGGCAGAGCCAGUACGAGGACCAGGUGUGACACACACACACACCCCACGGCCUGAAGGUGAGCGGGGCAAGGGGCAUAUAGCUAGGUGAAGUUAUUUUAUGUUCCCUCAGGAGCCAAACGUAAGGGACCUGAACUACCAACGAAACAACGUGCAUUUAGGAUGAGUGCUUACGCUCUGUUUGAAUGUGUACUUAACUUUCAUUUGCUUUUUGAAAUGGCCUUGUGUUGAUUUUGCAUGCUUUAUAAAUAUUUAAAAUGUUUCCCAGUAGCUAAAAUUGGCUGAAAAGAAAUAUUUUUAUGAGGGAAAUACAUGAACAGAGUACACAGAGUCAAAUGUAAAUGUUAAAAAAAUCCAAAGGUUUACAUGGAAGUUGUUUUCCUUGGAGACAUUUGCGCUCCUUAGAAUACAUUUUCUUCUUCUUUUCCCUUUGGUUUUAAGGAAGGCCAUUAAAGACACCCAAAAUGGUUUGCUCACUAAUUUUUAAAAUAUGCCUAAAGGCCUCUGUGCACAAGGGCACCUGCUUUAUCUGGGAAAAGUGAAUUACAACUUUUCGUUUUUGGGAUUGCCUUGAAUUUGAGCUCAUUCUGUUUCUAAAACUGAACCUUUUCCUCUUUUUUUCGCAGAAGGGUGGAUCAUGGCCGACUUCUUCCGGAGACUUCCCCACGAUUGAUUUAUAAACUCCUUGUUCUGUGGGGAGGUGUUGUCGUAACCGUGCUUUCGGUCCC